GGCUCGGUGGUGGAUGGUUCACACCUGUGUUGAAUAAGGAAAAGGGAGAAGUAAGCAGGAGGAGCCCGUUCGAUUCGGGCCCGAGCCA
Mycena epipterygia is the source of this 88-nucleotide non-coding RNA. NCBI's taxonomy places the organism in Eukaryota, Fungi, Basidiomycota, Agaricomycetes, Agaricales, Mycenaceae. The record is from the annotation of a GenBank genome assembly.